GGGUUGUGAGGUUAAGCGACCAAGCGUACACGGUGGAUGCCCUGGCAGUCAGAGGCGAUGAAGGACGUGCUAAUCUGCGAAAAGCGUCGGCGAGGUGAUAUGAACCUUUGACCCGGCGAUGUCCGAAUGGGGAAACCCAGUGUGAUUCGUCACACUAUCGUUAACUGAAUACAUAGGUUAACGAGGCGAACCGGGGGAACUGAAACAUCUAAGUACCCCGAGGAAAAGAAAUCAACCGAGAUUCCCCCAGUAGCGGCGAGCGAACGGGGAGCAGCCCAGAGCCUGAAUCAGCCAGUGUGGUAGUGGAAGUGUCUGGAAAGGCACGCGAUACAGGGUGACAGCCCCGUACACAAAACCGCACCGGUUGUGAGCUCGAUGAGUAGGGCGGGACACGUGGUAUCCUGUCUGAAUAUGGGGGGACCAUCCUCCAAGGCUAAAUACUCCUGACUGACCGAUAGUGAACCAGUACCGUGAGGGAAAGGCGAAAAGAACCCCGGCGAGGGGAGUGAAAAAGAACCUGAAACCGUGUACGUACAAGCAGUGGGAGCCUCUUUAUGGGGUGACUGCGUACCUUUUGUAUAAUGGGUCAGCGACUUAUAUUCUGUAGCAAGGUUAACCGAAUAGGGGAGCCGCAGGGAAACCGAGUCUUAACUGGGCGUUAAGUUGCAGGGUAUAGACCCGAAACCCGGUGAUCUAGCCAUGGGCAGGUUGAAGGUUGGGUAACACUAACUGGAGGACCGAACCGACUAAUGUUGAAAAAUUAGCGGAUGACCUGUGGCUGGGGGUGAAAGGCCAAUCAAACCGGGAGAUAGCUGGUUCUCCCCGAAAGCUAUUUAGGUAGCGCCUCGUGAACUCAUCUCCGGGGGUAGAGCACUGUUUCGGCUAGGGGGCCAUCCCGGCUUACCAACCCGAUGCAAACUGCGAAUACCGGAGAAUGUUAUCACGGGAGACACACGGCGGGUGCUAACGUCCGUCGUGAAGAGGGAAACAACCCAGACCGCCAGCUAAGGUCCCAAAGUCAUGGUUAAGUGGGAAACGAUGUGGGAAGGCUCAGACAGCCAGGAUGUUGGCUUAGAAGCAGCCAUCAUUUAAAGAAAGCGUAAUAGCUCACUGGUCGAGUCGGCCUGCGCGGAAGAUGUAACGGGGCUAAACCAUGCACCGAAGCUGCGGCAGCGACACUAUGUGUUGUUGGGUAGGGGAGCGUUCUGUAAGCCGUUGAAGGUGUGUCGUGAGGCAUGCUGGAGGUAUCAGAAGUGCGAAUGCUGACAUAAGUAACGAUAAAGCGGGUGAAAAGCCCGCUCGCCGGAAGACCAAGGGUUCCUGUCCAACGUUAAUCGGGGCAGGGUGAGUCGACCCCUAAGGCGAGGCCGAAAGGCGUAGUCGAUGGGAAACAGGUUAAUAUUCCUGUACUUGGUGUUACUGCGAAGGGGGGACGGAGAAGGCUAUGUCGGCCGGGCGACGGUUGUCCCGGUUUAAGCGUGUAGGUGUGUGUUCCAGGUAAAUCCGGUUCACUUUAACACUGAGGCGUGAUGACGAGGCACUACGGUGCUGAAGUGACAAAUGCCCUGCUUCCAGGAAAAGCCUCUAAGCAUCAGGUAACACGAAAUCGUACCCCAAACCGACACAGGUGGUCAGGUAGAGAAUACCAAGGCGCUUGAGAGAACUCGGGUGAAGGAACUAGGCAAAAUGGUGCCGUAACUUCGGGAGAAGGCACGCUGAUAUGUAGGUGAAGUGAUUUACUCAUGGAGCUGAAAUCAGUCGAAGAUACCAGCUGGCUGCAACUGUUUAUUAAAAACACAGCACUGUGCAAACACGAAAGUGGACGUAUACGGUGUGACGCCUGCCCGGUGCCGGAAGGUUAAUUGAUGGGGUUAUCCGUAAGGAGAAGCUCUUGAUCGAAGCCCCGGUAAACGGCGGCCGUAACUAUAACGGUCCUAAGGUAGCGAAAUUCCUUGUCGGGUAAGUUCCGACCUGCACGAAUGGCGUAAUGAUGGCCAGGCUGUCUCCACCCGAGACUCAGUGAAAUUGAACUCGCUGUGAAGAUGCAGUGUACCCGCGGCAAGACGGAAAGACCCCGUGAACCUUUACUAUAGCUUGACACUGAACACUGGUCCUUGAUGUGUAGGAUAGGUGGGAGGCUUUGAAGCGUGGACGCCAGUCUGCGUGGAGCCGCCCUUGAAAUACCACCCUUUAAUGGCUGGUGUUCUAACGUGGGCCCGUAAUCCGGGUUGCGGACAGUGUCUGGUGGGUAGUUUGACUGGGGCGGUCUCCUCCUAAAGAGUAACGGAGGAGCACGAAGGUUGGCUAAUCCUGGUCGGACAUCAGGAGGUUAGUGCAAUGGCAUAAGCCAGCUUGACUGCGAGCGUGACGGCGCGAGCAGGUGCGAAAGCAGGUCAUAGUGAUCCGGUGGUUCUGAAUGGAAGGGCCAUCGCUCAACGGAUAAAAGGUACUCCGGGGAUAACAGGCUGAUACCGCCCAAGAGUUCAUAUCGACGGCGGUGUUUGGCACCUCGAUGUCGGCUCAUCACAUCCUGGGGCUGAAGUAGGUCCCAAGGGUAUGGCUGUUCGCCAUUUAAAGUGGUACGCGAGCUGGGUUUAGAACGUCGUGAGACAGUUCGGUCCCUAUCUGCCGUGGGCGCUGGAGAACUGAGGGGGGCUGCUCCUAGUACGAGAGGACCGGAGUGGACGCAUCACUGGUGUUCGGGUUGUCAUGCCAAUGGCACUGCCCGGUAGCUAAAUGCGGAAGAGAUAAGUGCUGAAAGCAUCUAAGCACGAAACUUGCCCCGAGAUGAGUUCUCCCUGACUCCUUGAGAGUCCUGAAGGAACGUUGAAGACGACGACGUUGAUAGGCCGGGUGUGUAAGCGCAGCGAUGCGUUGAGCUAACCGGUACUAAUGAACCGUGAGGCUUAACCUUACAACGCCGAAG
RNAcentral lists this ribosomal RNA (2926 nucleotides) under Citrobacter sp. RHB21-C05. RNAcentral describes it as "23S ribosomal RNA". It matches the Rfam family "Bacterial large subunit ribosomal RNA". The record is from RNAcentral. Lineage: Bacteria; Pseudomonadati; Pseudomonadota; Gammaproteobacteria; Enterobacterales; Enterobacteriaceae.